GGGCCAGCUAGCUGACUACACAUGCAGUCGAGCGAUGAAACCCCUUCGGGGGUGGAUUAGCGGCGGACGGGUGAGUAACACGUGGGUAACCUGCCUCAAAGUGGGGGAUAGCCUUCCGAAAGGAAGAUUAAUACCGCAUAAAGCCAAGUUUCACAUGGAAUUUGGAUGAAAGGAGUAAUUCGCUUUGAGAUGGACCCGCGGCGCAUUAGUUAGUUGGUGGGGUAAUGGCCUACCAAGACAGCGAUGCGUAGCCGACCUGAGAGGGUGAUCGGCCACAUUGGAACUGAGAUACGGUCCAGACUCCUACGGGAGGCAGCAGUGGGGAAUAUUGCACAAUGGGCGAAAGCCUGAUGCAGCAACGCCGCGUGAGUGAUGAAGGUCUUCGGAUUGUAAAGCUCUGUCUUUUGGGACGAUAAUGACGGUACCAAAGGAGGAAGCCACGGCUAACUACGUGCCAGCAGCCGCGGUAAUACGUAGGUGGCGAGCGUUGUCCGGAUUUACUGGGCGUAAAGGGUGCGUAGGCGGAUGUUUAAGUGAGAUGUGAAAUACCCGGGCUUAACUUGGGUGCUGCAUUUCAAACUGGAUAUCUAGAGUGCAGGAGAGGAGAAUGGAAUUCCUAGUGUAGCGGUGAAAUGCGUAGAGAUUAGGAAGAACACCAGUGGCGAAGGCGAUUCUCUGGACUGUAACUGACGCUGAGGCACGAAAGCGUGGGUAGCAAACAGGAUUAGAUACCCUGGUAGUCCACGCCGUAAACGAUGAGUACUAGGUGUAGGAGGUAUCGACCCCUUCUGUGCCGCAGUAAACACAUUAAGUACUCCGCCUGGGAAGUACGAUCGCAAGAUUAAAACUCAAAGGAAUUGACGGGGGCCCGCACAAGCAGCGGAGCAUGUGGUUUAAUUCGAAGCAACGCGAAGAACCUUACCUGGACUUGACAUCCCCUGAAUAACCUAGAGAUAGGCGAAGCCCUUCGGGGCAGGGAGACAGGUGGUGCAUGGUUGUC
This 1000-nucleotide ribosomal RNA is filed under the name Clostridium tyrobutyricum. RNAcentral describes it as "bacterial SSU rRNA". It matches the Rfam family "Bacterial small subunit ribosomal RNA", at positions 26 to 1053 of the family's 1533-position model. The record is from RNAcentral. Lineage: Bacteria; Bacillati; Bacillota; Clostridia; Eubacteriales; Clostridiaceae.